UACGGGGGGAGCAAGCGUUGUUCGGAUUUACUGGGCGUAAAGGGCGCGUAGGCGGUCAGCACAAGUCAGUUGUGAAAUCUCCGGGCUUAACUCGGAAAGGUCAACUGAUACUGUGCGACUAGAGUGCGGAAGGGGCAACUGGAAUUCUCGGUGUAGCGGUGAAAUGCGUAGAUAUCGAGAGGAACACCUGCGGCGAAGGCGGGUUGCUGGGCCGACACUGACGCUGAGGCACGAAAGCUAGGGGAGCAAACAGG
This 254-nucleotide ribosomal RNA is filed under the name uncultured bacterium. RNAcentral describes it as "partial 16S ribosomal RNA". It matches the Rfam family "Bacterial small subunit ribosomal RNA", at positions 524 to 776 of the family's 1533-position model. The record is from RNAcentral.